CCUACGGGUGGCAGCAGUGAGGAAUAUUGGUCAAUGGGCGAGAGCCUGAACCAGCCAAGUCGCGUGAGGGAUGACGGCCCUACGGGUUGUAAACCUCUUUUGUCGGGGAGCAAAGUGCGGGACGUGUCCCUUCUUGAGUGUACCCGGUGAAUAAGCAUCGGCUAACUCCGUGCCAGCAGCCGCGGUAAUCCGGGGGAUGCGAGCGUUAUCCGGAUUUAUUGGGUUUAAAGGGUGCGCAGGGGGUAGGGUAAGUCCGCGGUAAAAUUGUGAGGCUAAACCUCUUCCCGCCGUUGACUCUGGGAGUCGUGAGUGGGCGAGAGGUAGGCGGAAUGCGUGGUGUAGCGGUGAAAUGCAUAGAUAUCACGAAGAACUCCGAUUGCGAAGGCAGCGUACCGGAGCGCAACUGACGCUGAUGCACGAAAGCGUGGGUAUCGAACAGGAUUAGAUACCCUUGUAGUC
RNAcentral lists this ribosomal RNA (459 nucleotides) under uncultured bacterium. RNAcentral's name for it is "partial 16S ribosomal RNA". It matches the Rfam family "Bacterial small subunit ribosomal RNA", at positions 338 to 795 of the family's 1533-position model. The record is from RNAcentral.